GUUGGGGGGCCUCCAGGAACAUGGUUGGAAACCACUGGCUUAGCCAGUCUUUGCUUUAGCAGGAUAGUCAAAUAGAAAGAUCCAAUGGGGAAUUUCAAACAGCAACUCAGGUAUAAGGAUUUGAGGACAGAGAAAAAAAGGGCAGGUAGGGGAAUUCGGGUAGGUAGACUGGAGAAGUGAACAAACACAAGGUUGGAGAACUGGAGAAACUGCAACAAGACCAGCCAAUUGUGAUGUGACUGGUGAAUGUUUAUAUAGCAUGGGGGAAUGAGGUGAUCAGAUGAAACAAGCUACUAUGCGUAGAGCACUCAGAUUUUUGCCGGAAGAAAUAGUUUCAAGUUACAGCUGUCUUGAUUUAUUUGUUUCAUACAAAUAUGCAGCUUUUAACUUCACAAGAUGUUAACUUAUGGUCUGAAAUGGUGUGGAAUACCUGUGGAUUAUUAUGAUGAUUUUAUCAGUUGUUUAGACUCUCAUUCUCACGACACCCACUCACUGCAGAGGAUCCACUGGUAAAAAAAUAAUGUAAUAAUACAGUUAGAAGAUUUUUCAAAAUCUGUUCUAAUGAAGAAACAAACUCGUCUACAUUUGACCUGGGGGUGAGUACAUCUUCCGCAAAAGCAAAUUUUUUAAAUGUACUGAAAUGCAGAAUGUAUGAGAUUGUUUAAAUGUUAUAAGAUGACUGACAGGCCAUUUCACACUGACUGAACUAACUGAUCAUGGAGAACAAUUUAAUGAUAAUGUAAUGCCAGGCAAGGAAAUUGUAUUACUUGUAAGACCAGAAAAGUGAUUUAAAAAAAGUCUUAAUUGGUCAGCUGGAGUUUGUUUCCUAAUGCCUUGUGAUGCUGUUGUGAUGAACAUUUGCAUUUUA
Long non-coding RNA from Carassius gibelio (silver crucian carp), 868 nucleotides. RefSeq lists it as uncharacterized. The transcript is spliced from 4 exons. The record is from RefSeq and is a predicted model, not a curated record. Lineage: Eukaryota; Metazoa; Chordata; Actinopteri; Cypriniformes; Cyprinidae.